GACGUAGGGGGCAAGCGUUGUCCGGAAUUAUUGGGCGUAAAGAGCGUGUAGGCGGCCAGAUAAGUCCGCUGUGAAAUCUCGAGGCUCAACUUCGAGCUGUCGGUGGAAACUAUCUGGCUAGAGUCCGGAAGAGGAGAAUGGAAUUCCUGGUGUAGCGGUGAAAUGCGCAGAUAUCAGGAGGAACACCAAUAGCGAAGGCAGCUUGCUGGGACGGUACUGACGCUGAGGAGCGAAAGCGUGGGGAGCGAACAGG
This 253-nucleotide ribosomal RNA is filed under the name uncultured bacterium. Its description in RNAcentral is "partial 16S ribosomal RNA". It matches the Rfam family "Bacterial small subunit ribosomal RNA", at positions 524 to 776 of the family's 1533-position model. The record is from RNAcentral.